Mastomys coucha (southern multimammate mouse) is the source of this 1072-nucleotide long non-coding RNA. RefSeq lists it as uncharacterized. NCBI's taxonomy places the organism in Eukaryota, Metazoa, Chordata, Mammalia, Rodentia, Muridae. The record is from RefSeq and is a predicted model, not a curated record. The transcript is spliced from 2 exons.
UCCCGGCCCCGACUGUUGCCCUGUGUCAUUCCUCCCCUGUGACUGUCGCCCUGUGUGUCCGUCUUCCCCCGUGGGUGUCGACCUGUGUCAUUCCUCCCUUAUGGCUGUCGCCCUGUGUCCGUCUUCCCCUCUGACUGUCGCCCUGUGGAAGUCCUCCCCUGUGGCUGUCGCCCUGUGUCAUUCCUCCUCUCUGACUGUCAUCCUGUGUCCCUCUUCCCCUCUGUCACUCCGUGUCCCAUCUCUCUGUUUCUGUCAUUGUGUGUCUGUCCUCUCUCCCUAUAGCCUGUCCUCUCCGCUGACUGCCAUCUGCGGUCCCGUCCUGUACCCUCUGGCUUUUCAGGAUUCUGUACCCUGUCUUACAGCUCUGAUCCCCAAGUCCCCUUCCCUGACUAUCAUCCUGUGUCCUGCGCUCCUCCCGCUGUUCACCCACUUCAUUCCUUGCGCCUGCGGCUCCUGUUUGGGGUGGUAGAUAGCGGAGAAGUUGGCCCUGGGGUUGUAGCUGCUCCCUGUGGAGUUCCAGCCUGGUUCCUGGAAGGCUUGGGCUCUUCUUUGCCUGAGGUAGAAUGAUAAUGUCCCCUUCAGCUGCAGAGAGACCUGUGUAAUAAACCCACCUGGGGAGUCAGUGGCCCCAGGCCUGGCCUGCUUGUCUAGGAUAUAGAAGGAACUUGGGGGCAGCCACACUCACCCAUGGAGCCUUGUGGUCUGGUGGGCAAGUACAGCUCAAAGGAGUCCCUAGGCUCCUGGACACCUCAGGGUGAGAGAUUGGUGGAUGGAGAAUGCAUCUGGGGUAGCUGUGCAAAGACCCUGGGGGCUGGAGGUCACAGUUGUGCAAAGGCCCUAGGGCAAGGCAGAGCCUGGUAUCGGAGGAGGCCCCUGUGCCAGGCAGGGGUGAACAGGAGUCAGGGCAUGAUGGCAUGUUGGAGGAGCUUGCGUUGACUACAUAUAUAUCUUUGAGUCCAUGGAGGAGGAUGGGACACCCAGUAUGUCCUGGGCAGUGGCAGGAUCUGCUUUGUCCCCAGGGGCACCUGGGCUCCAACUCCUCCCUGUCCAACAGGGGAAGGAGAGCAUAGAA